UGGUGGAGUGAUUUGUCUGGUUAAUUCCGUUAACGAACGAGACCUCGACCUGCUAAAUAGUUUGGGGAAGCCUUCGGGCUUCCUGCACAACUUCUUAGAGGGACUAUCAGUGGUCUAACCUGAUGGAGGUUCGAGGCAAUAACA
Molecule: ribosomal RNA, 144 nt
Filed under: uncultured eukaryote
Lineage: Eukaryota
Description: partial 18S ribosomal RNA
Rfam family: Eukaryotic small subunit ribosomal RNA
Source: RNAcentral